GCCCUUUCCGGUGGAGGACCCUUCCCCCUGGGUUGAUCUUGAGGAACUUAAGAGACGGUGUUUUGACUCGACUCCUUUCCCCUUUUUCCUCCCGGUACCAAAGCGGUUUUGUUUGCUGUUUAUACUCUACCCCGUGGAAAGGCGGCUAGCUGGCUAAAGGGUUUUAUGCCUGGGGGAGGAUGAGUCGCUAUUUGGUCGUGACUUGUUUCUGUUUAAAAUUAUUAUUAUUUACCAAAUGAAAAUGUUGUACUUACCAGUCCAAAGUGCGGGGCUUAUAUUGUUAGAAGACCACUUAAAAUGCUCCUGGAUUCUGACAAAUAUUGCAUGAGAAAUUUGCAAUCAGCCGUGAAGCAUGUUUCCCCUUCUGAAAGUUUAACACGUGCCGUAUCUACGGCUGGGAUCUAACACAUCCCAUUCCUACAGGUUUUCUACAGGUUCGGGACUACACUGUUUAAUAUAUAACCCCAACCCUUGGUACCGCACUGACCUUCAGUAUUUGGUUGCUGAAAUCUUCAAUGAUGAAAGGGCUGAGAUCCAGACCUUCUUAGAGAGAACACAGCCAGUGGAGAGUCACUCUAUGGCAGGAAAUAUUCUGUAUUGCCUUACAGGCAGAACUUGCUGAAACUCCAACCUCUGGAAAUUACUGGAACCCUGCAUUCUAGAACUUGCUGGAAACCCACCCUCUGGAAUUGGCCUGCUAGAGUGCCUGAGAAGGAUGUUCAUAGGGAAAUGUUUCAGCAGAGGAACUCUACUACAAAAACCACAAGAGGGAGGGUGCCAGGGGAAGUGGCCUGGUGCUAUUGAAACUGCAACACAGAAGCCAGCCACUGGAGAGAGCUGCACAAGCUGCAGGAACACCCUACCCAGUAAGCCGGCCAGAAGGAGGGAGCAAAACCUUUUCUCUCUGCAACAUCUUUCCAGUUUCCUCUACUGGAAAAGCUUCAUUGCCAGCUGACAAAAGGAAAAAUACUUAAAUGGAUCAGAUCCAUUUUCACAGAGCAGUCAAUAAUGGUGAAUUUGGAGAUGAUAAGCAACAAAUUGAUGAACUGGCACAACUUCCCUGCUACUUUCUUGAUUGUAAUGCCUAGAUAGGGAAUAGGAAAGUUAUUGAAAUGUAUGUGUUCCCAUGAAAUGUGUUUAUUUGUUGUUCAAGAUCAAUACUAAUAAAUGGGGACUAAUGUUCU
This 1184-nucleotide long non-coding RNA is filed under the name Homo sapiens (human). RNAcentral describes it as "novel transcript". The record is from RNAcentral. Lineage: Eukaryota; Metazoa; Chordata; Mammalia; Primates; Hominidae.